This 431-nucleotide RNase P RNA is filed under the name Verrucomicrobiales bacterium. RNAcentral describes it as "RNase P RNA component class A". It matches the Rfam family "Bacterial RNase P class A". From Rfam's summary of the family: Ribonuclease P (RNase P) is a ubiquitous endoribonuclease, found in archaea, bacteria and eukarya as well as chloroplasts and mitochondria. Lineage: Bacteria; Pseudomonadati; Verrucomicrobiota; Verrucomicrobiia; Verrucomicrobiales. The record is from RNAcentral.
AACGGGCCGGAGAUGAUCGCUGUUUCCUUCGGGAUUCAGAGGAAAGUCCGGACACCGCACGGCAGCAUGCCUGGUGAAAGCCGGGGCACUUCAUCGUAAUGGUGAGGUGACGGAAAGUGUCGCAGAAAAUAUACCGCCUACGAUGUCUUUGGACACUGUAGGUAAGGGUGAAAUGGCGAGGUAAGAGCUCACCGCCCCGAGGGCAACCGAGGGGGCAGGAUAAACCCCAUGCGGUGCAAGACAGAACAGGGCGAACGGGCAGCCGGUCCGGUUUCGUGAUUUCGGUCAUGGAAUAUGUCCGGGUAUUAGUCGCACCCGACUUCGGUCGGGAGGGAGAGGCUCUCUGGAGUCGAUCUCUAGAUAAAUGAUCGUCCAUUCGCUUCGACUACGGGGCGGAUGAACAGAAUCCGGCUUACGGCGGCCCGUUCCAU